This 2676-nucleotide long non-coding RNA is filed under the name Monomorium pharaonis (pharaoh ant). RNAcentral's name for it is "uncharacterized LOC118645865". The record is from RNAcentral. Lineage: Eukaryota; Metazoa; Arthropoda; Insecta; Hymenoptera; Formicidae.
AUUGUUGAUGCGAAUGUCUGGUACAUCUCCGUUCGCGUUGUCUUCAAACGGAUCGUCGUUAAGUAUACCGUCAGCAAUUCGCAUAUUGUGUAGUACCGCACAUGCAUUAACGAUUCUUCCUGCAAAACCAGGUUCAUACUGUAGGACCCUGUGCUUGGAAAGGCAUCUCCACGUGCUUUUAAGUAGUUACAGUUAAGGGUUACACGACAUUUUCUAGAAAACUAGAUGAGAAAAUGUUGGUACUAACCAAAUUCUCUAGACAAUACCGUUUCAAUUUCUGCAGCUGUUAAACAGCAACAAAAAGAGCCCGAAAUACAAGAAAAAAGACAACGGAGAUGGUGGACAAGAGAAUGGAUUUUACGAAGAGAAUUCCAAUUAAGAGGAUCUAUUCACUUAGCGCUUAAUGAACUUGUCCAUGAAGAUAUAGAAUCUUUUAUAGAUUCUUUAGAAUGGAUCAAUUUUAAUGGAUUAUCAAUUAUUUAACAAUCUGUUAGAUAAAGUAUCUCCAUUUAUUCAGAGACAAGAUACAGUUACGCGAAAGAGUAUUCCGCCAAUUCAAAGACUAUCACUGACUCUACGAUAUCUAGCAACUGGAGAAUCUUAUUGCAGUAUGGAAUUCACAACAAAAGUACCUACUUGUAUUAUCACGCAUCAUUCCUGAAACAGUUAGAGUAAUUUAUGAAGUAUUAAAGGAUGAAUAUUUAAAAAUCCCAGAUACUGAAGAAGAAUGGAAUCAUGUUGCUGACAAUUAUUUGGAACAAUGGAAUGUGCCCAAUUGCAUUGGUGCGAUGGAUGGCAAGCAUAUUGAGUUUAAAGUUCCUCUUAGUCAAGGAUCAUUCUAUCAUAAUUAUAAGGGUACUAAUAGUAUUGUUUUACUAGCAUUAGUCACUAAUAAUAAGCAUUCACUAAUAAUUAGUGAAUGCUCAUUAUCAGUUUAUAUACGUCAAUGUAGGUGUCAAUGGUAGAGUAAGUGAUAGAGGAGUUUUUUGUGAAAGUGAUUUAGCAAAAUAUAUUAAUGAUCCACGAAAUCCAUUAAAUAUGCCAAAAGAUAAAUCUUUGCCUAAUAUGAAUGAUUUUGUUUUUUUUUUUUUGUUAUUUUAGCUGACGCGGCUUUUCCAUUGCAAAAACACAUUUUGAAAUCUUAUCCAUCACGAAAUUUGUCUCAUGAUGAGCGAGUCUUUAAUUAUAGAUUAAGUAGAGAUAGAAGUGUAGUCGAAAAUGCUUUCGGCAUUUUAGCUAAUAGAUUUCGCGUUUUUUUAACAAAAAUAUAUUUAUCUGUUGAAUCAGUUAAAAAUAUUACGCUUGCUUGCUGCGCUUUACAUAAUUUUAUUAUGUAACGUCAGAAUUGCGUAGACAGAUGUCCGGCACGCUGCGACGUGUUGGGACAUGUUUAACCAUUAGGCGCGAAGGAUCGAGAAACUCACGCAACGAGACACCCGCCUCCGCGAGUCACGAGCGAAUCGAGAAAAGUCGUCUUGAGCCGAUUGGCCGAACCAAGCGACCGGAAAAUCCUAUAUAAGCAGCGUCCGCCCGACCCAGCAGGAUCAUUCCGUGCCUAUUGUUCACCCGUGUCACUUGAAAUACAUUACGUUUCAAUUUACGAUUACGUGUUACGUCCUUACGUCCUGGCUUUUAUCCUGCCUUCUCUUACGAUUUACCUUACAAUUAGAAAAGAAAAUGAUAUUUAUUUACACGGAGCUGUAGAUAUUAAAAAUUUGGAUAAUCAAACAAUUAUACCUGCGCCAUGAAAAAAUAAUAAUGCACAGUUACGUAAUUUAAAAAUUGUAAACGUAAAACCUAAUAGAAACGCAAUUUAUAUUCGUGAUGUUUUUGAAGAAUACUUUAAUACUGUUGGAAGAAUUGAAUGGCAAGAAGCUAUGAUUUAACUUUAAAGUAUAUACAUAUCUAUUUUUUAUUUAAUAUAAAAAUUAAAUAAAGAAUAAAUUUAUAAUUUCGUGCGUUAUCAUUAAGUUAUUAAUAUUAUAUAAAAUAAUAUUUGUGAGAGAGAGAAAGAGAGAGAGAGAAAUUACGUCUAUUAGAAGUUUAUUCUGGUUUCCCUUUCGGGGUUACCAGGGUGUUUUAAAGAGCCCACCAAACCCCUUACAAUUUCGUAUCCAUACAUACAUACGCCUCUACAUAACAUCUGUACAUAUACAAAACAUAAAAUAUAAUACCGUACAAAACAAGAAAUACAUAAUACCAAGACUAUCACAUUUGCAGCGGAGCGGAAGUCCCUCUGUCCCCCAACUUCUUCCCUAUCAAAAUCUCAUUACAUACAUUGCUUAUCUAAUCUCCUCCGACCGACCUGGCCAUUGUGCAGCCUUACAGACAUUUACCCCCCCUUCCCUUCCACGACCCUUCUAUACCCCUUUCAUCCCCUCCUAUUUUCCCCAUCCUUCUCUUCUUCUUUCUCCUCCCUUUCCCCCAUUCCCUCUUUCUGCCUCCUCCGGAUCCCUUCUCUGCCGUUUCCAAGUAAUUCCUUUCUGCUCCUCUCUCACUCCGUCUGACUGUCCUCCCCCGAACUCUAAAUCUUCCGGCUCCUACCCUCUCCUCUGCCUCUUCUUCUCUUCCCUGUCUCUCUUCUCUCCAGUUUCUGUUCCUUAUCACCUCCUUUAACUCCUUCUACUUAUAACCAAAAACAACUUACAGUUUUCUUUUUGAAAUCUCCCUAUCCUC